AACGAACGCUGGCGGCGUGCUUAACACAUGCAAGUCGAACGCGAAAGGGACUUCGGUCCUGAGUAAAGUGGCGCACGGGUGAGUAACGCGUGGAUAAUCUGCCCUUCAGCGGGGAAUAACCCAUCGAAAGGUGGGCUAAUACCCCAUAACACUAUUUCUGCCUCGGCAGGAUAGUCAAAGACGGCCUCUGUUUACAAGCUGUCACUGAAGGAUGAGUCCGCGUACCAUUAGCUAGUUGGUAGGGUAAUGGCCUACCAAGGCUGCGAUGGUUAGCUGGUCUGAGAGGAUGAUCAGCCACACUGGAACUGAGACACGGUCCAGACUCCUACGGGAGGCUG
Molecule: ribosomal RNA, 338 nt
Filed under: uncultured Pseudomonadota bacterium
Lineage: Bacteria; Pseudomonadati; Pseudomonadota
Description: bacterial SSU rRNA
Rfam family: Bacterial small subunit ribosomal RNA
Source: RNAcentral